This is a long non-coding RNA of Mus musculus (house mouse), 855 nucleotides long. RefSeq annotates it as predicted gene, 52243. The transcript has 3 exons. NCBI's taxonomy places the organism in Eukaryota, Metazoa, Chordata, Mammalia, Rodentia, Muridae. The record is from RefSeq and is a predicted model, not a curated record.
AGCCAGGAGGCUCCAGGUGGGAGGCACAGGUUCGCUGCUGGCGCCACCGGUGUGGGAGGAGUGACUGGGCUACUCGCCAGUCGCCUCAGGGACCUCUUCCUCUGCUUCACCCAGGCCUGGGAUACCCUUCAAUGUCCUCAGAGUUUUGAUUCCAAACUUCUUCACCCCUGUGAUUAUGGGGUAUCUCGGGCCCUUUGAAGGAGGUACCACAAGUGCUGGCACAUCAGACUUGCUCCCCUACCUGCACCGGAGCACUGCUGAGACAACAUCCCCUCCAGCGCAACCACAUAGUCAGGACCCAGCCAGUCCAGGUAGGCGGAAGCUACCUUGGGGUUUGGACCCACUCCUCGCUGAGACCACUCUCUAGCUUGGCUUACCUGGGCCUUGUCCAGAAGUCCAUACACAGUGAAGAUGUUGGUGUCUGGACGGACCAUGACAGCGUGGGAUGGCAUUUGUGCCAGGUUGCAAGCUUGGAACUGGUCUACCUCAGCCCGUGCCCCAUUGGGGCACAGUAGUUCAUAGUCUUGCCACCUGAGGUGAGAAGCCCAAGGCUCAGGAUUGUGACCUGAGGGACAUCAUGGGGUGGGAAGAAGGGGAAGAGAAAUCCAUGAGAUCCUUCACUGGGAAGAGGUGGUGAUAUCCGGACAGCAUCCCAAGCUGUGGUCUCGGCUGUCACAGGAGGGACAGGGCCCAACUAGCUGAAUGUGACAUUGAAGACUCAGUAGGACAGGCAUGGUUACCGCCCCUGCUUAUAACACAGGGUGGGGGUGAGGUGGGGACUAUCACCCCCACCUUACAACCCUUUACAAUUACAAAACCAGGGAGGGCUCUUAAUAAAGUUGCUUUUGUUUUGUU